GCGCACGCUGGCGGCAGGCUUAACACCUGCAAGUCGCACGGGCAUCUUCGGAUGUCAGUGGCAGACGGGUGAGUAACACGUGGGAACGUACCCUUCGGUUCGGAAUAACUCAGGGAAACUUGAGCUAAUACCGGAUACGCCCUUUUGGGGAAAGGUUUACUGCCGAAGGAUCGGCCCGCGUCUGAUUAGCUUGUUGGUGGGGUAACGGCCUACCAAGGCGACGAUCAGUAGCUGGUCUGAGAGGAUGAUCAGCCACACUGGGACUGAGACACGGCCCAGACUCCUACGGGAGGCAGCAGUGGGGAAUAUUGGACAAUGGGCGCAAGCCUGAUCCAGCCAUGCCGCGUGAGUGAUGAAGGCCUUAGGGUUGUAAAGCUCUUUUGUCCGGGACGAUAAUGACGGUACCGGAAGAAUAAGCCCCGGCUAACUUCGUG
This 434-nucleotide ribosomal RNA is filed under the name uncultured bacterium. RNAcentral's name for it is "partial 16S ribosomal RNA". It matches the Rfam family "Bacterial small subunit ribosomal RNA", at positions 29 to 507 of the family's 1533-position model. The record is from RNAcentral.